Molecule: ribosomal RNA, 625 nt
Filed under: embryophyte environmental sample
Lineage: Eukaryota; Viridiplantae; Streptophyta
Description: eukaryotic LSU rRNA
Rfam family: 5.8S ribosomal RNA (bases 209-364)
Source: RNAcentral
GACCCGUGAACAUGUAACCACAACGGGGUGACCGUGAUAAGGGCCUCGGUAGUUGGUGGUGUCUUUUUGGGGGCAUCAUGGAUUCCGUUGGACCAUAACAAAACCCCGGCACGGUAUGUGCCAAGGAAAACAAAAAUGAGAAGGACACUACCUGUUUCGCCCCGUUUGCGGUGUGCGUACAGGUCGUGGCCUCCUUGGAAUCACAAACGACUCUCGGCAACGGAUAUCUCGGCUCACGCAUCGAUGAAGAACGUAGCAAAAUGCGAUACUUGGUGUGAAUUGCAGAAUCCCGUGAACCAUCGAGUUUUUGAACGCAAGUUGCGCCCGAAGCCAUCCGGCUGAGGGCACGCCUGCCUGGGCGUCACGCAUCGCGUCGCUCCCCACCAUACCUCCCCAACGGGUUGGCAUGGUGUUGGGGGCGGAUAAUGGCCUCCCGUGCUUGUGUUUCGGUUGGCCUAAAUAAGAGUUCCCUUCGGCGGACACACGACUAGUGGUGGUUGAAUAGACCCUCGUCUUUUGUUGCGUGUCGUGAGCUGUAAGGGUAGCCCUCAUCAAAGACCCCAUUGUAUCGUCUUCGGAUGAUGCUUCGACCGCGACCCCAGGUCAGGCGGGACUACCCGCUGAG